AGAGUUUGAUCCUGGCUCAGAUUGAACGCUGGCGGCAUGCCUUACACAUGCAAGUCGAACGGCAGCACGGGGCAACCUGGUGGCGAGUGGCGAACGGGUGAGUAAUAUAUCGGAACGUACCCAGAAGUGGGGGAUAACGCAGCGAAAGUUGCGCUAAUACCGCAUACGAUCUACGGAUGAAAGUGGGGGAUUCGCAAGGACCUCAUGCUUUUGGAGCGGCCGAUAUCUGAUUAGCUAGUUGGUGAGGUAAAGGCUCACCAAGGCAUCGAUCAGUAGCUGGUCUGAGAGGACGACCAGCCACACUGGAACUGAGACACGGUCCAGACUCCUACGGGAGGCAGCAGUGGGGAAUUUUGGACAAUGGGGGCAACCCUGAUCCAGCAAUGCCGCGUGAGUGAAGAAGGCCUUCGGGUUGUAAA
Molecule: ribosomal RNA, 419 nt
Filed under: uncultured bacterium
Lineage: Bacteria
Description: bacterial SSU rRNA
Rfam family: Bacterial small subunit ribosomal RNA
Source: RNAcentral